RNAcentral lists this unclassified non-coding RNA (1296 nucleotides) under Chironax melanocephalus. Its description in RNAcentral is "partial contains 12S ribosomal RNA, tRNA-Val, and 16S ribosomal RNA". The stretch from base 1 to 493 matches the Rfam family "Bacterial small subunit ribosomal RNA", at positions 860 to 1533 of the family's 1533-position model. Lineage: Eukaryota; Metazoa; Chordata; Mammalia; Chiroptera; Pteropodidae. The record is from RNAcentral.
CAAUACUACUUGCCAGAGUACUACCAGCAACAGCUUAAAACUCAAAGGACUUGGCGGUGCUUCAUAUCCAUCUAGAGGAGCCUGUUCUAUAAUCGAUGAACCCUGAUAAACCUCGCCAACCCUUGCUAAUUCAGCCUAUAUACCACCAUCUUCAGCGAACCCUAAAAAGGAGACACAGUAAGCAAAACCAUGGAACAUAAAAACGUUAGGUCAAGGUGUAGCCCAUGGGUUGGAAAGAAAUGGGCUACAUUCUCUAGCAUAGAACACUUACGAAAAUUUUCGUGAAAUCGAAAAUGGAAGGAGGAUUUAGUAGUAAAUUAAGAAUAGAGAGCUUAAUUGAAUAAGGCCAUGAAGCACGCACACACCGCCCGUCACCCUCCUCAAGUAUAAAAAUCGAUCAAACUAACCCUAUUAACUACUGCGUACACAUAUUAGAGGAGACAAGUCGUAACAAGGUAAGCGUACUGGAAAGUGCGCUUGGACAAACUAAAGUGUAGCUUAUACAAAGCAUCUGGCCUACACCCAGAAGAUUUCACACAAAGUGACCACUUUGAACAAAUGCUAGCCCACACCACACCAAACUUAACUUACAAUCUAAAAUAAAUCAAAACAUUUACCAUCCCCUUAAAAGUAUAGGAGAUAGAAAUUUUAAUAGGCGCUACGGAGAAAGUACCGUAAGGGAAAGAUGAAAGAUAAAUUAAAAGUAAAAAACAGCAAAGCUUAACACUUGUACCUUUUGCAUAAUGAUUUAACCAGACUAACUUGGCAAAGAGAACUUAAGCCAAGCAGCCCGAAACCAGACGAGCCACCCAAGGGCAGCUAAGGAGCACACUCAUCUAUGUGGCAAAAUAGUGAGAAGACCUCUGGGUAGAGGUGAAAAGCUUACCGAGCCCGGUGAUAGCUGGUUGUCCAGAAUAGAAUAUUAGUUCGACCUUAAGACCUGCCUAAAAGACUCUUAACUCAAAUGCAGUCUUAAAAUGUAAUCUAAAAGGGUACAGCCUUUCAGAAUCAGAGUACAAUCUUUAAUAGAGAGUAAGUUUAUCAAACCCCAUAGUUGGCCUAAAAGCGGCCACCAAUUAAGAAAGCGUUCAAGCUCAAAGACCCCCUAUUACCUUAAUCCAAAUAACAAUGUACAAACUCCUACACCAAAACUGGACCAUUCUAUAGCACUAUAGAAGGGAUACUGUUAAUAUGAGUAACAAGAAUUACAUUCUCCUCGCACAAGUUUAUAUCAGAACGGAUAGUACGCUGAUAAUUAACAGCAAGAUAAAUAUAUCCCACAACUAAAAUACCUAU